This 440-nucleotide ribosomal RNA is filed under the name uncultured bacterium. RNAcentral describes it as "partial 16S ribosomal RNA". It matches the Rfam family "Bacterial small subunit ribosomal RNA", at positions 338 to 795 of the family's 1533-position model. The record is from RNAcentral.
CCUACGGGUGGCAGCAGUGGGGAAUAUUGCACAAUGGGGGAAACCCUGAUGCCGCGACGCCGCGUGAGUGAAGAAGUAUCUCGGUACGUAAAGCUCUAUCAGCAGGGAAGAAAAUGACGGUACCUGACUACGAAGCCCCGGCUAACUACGUGCCAGCAGCCGCGGUAAUACGUAGGGGGCAAGCGUUAUCCGGAUUUACUGGGUGUAAAGGGAGCGUAGACGGCAGCACAAGUCUGGAGUGAAAUCCCGGGGCUUAACCCCGGAACUGCUUUGGAAACUGUGCGGCGGGAGGGCAGGAGGGGGAAGCGGAAGUCCUAGGGGAGCGGUGAAAGGCGGAGAGAUUAGGAGGAAAACCGGUGGCGAAGGCGGCUUACUGGACUUUAACUGACGUUGAGGCUCGAAAGCGUGGGGAGCAAACAGGAUUAGAUACCCGUGUAGUC